RNAcentral lists this long non-coding RNA (251 nucleotides) under Elaeis guineensis (African oil palm). RNAcentral describes it as "long non-coding RNA (EGUI_LNC066139)". The record is from RNAcentral. Lineage: Eukaryota; Viridiplantae; Streptophyta; Magnoliopsida; Arecales; Arecaceae.
GACCAACUCUUUAUGGACCAGGUCUAGGCCCAGGAUAGGUGAGAUUGGGUCGAGUCAUGGGUGUACAUGGGCUUGGGUUAACCUAAUCUCCCAUAGAGUUGGUCAAGGGAGUUUUGGGUUUGGGUCACUUGACCCUGUGUUUAUAUAUACAUGCACUGUAUAGGUUUGAUUAAGCAAAAAGAAUAUAAAAACCCUUUCUUCCAAGUCUUUCUCUCUAUUCUCCCUCUCUCUCUAGCUAUUCUCCACACCCC